GACGAACGCUGGCGGCGUGCCUAAUACAUGCAAGUAGAACGCACAGUUUAUACCGUAGCUUGCUACACCAUAGACUGUGAGUUGCGAACGGGUGAGUAACGCGUAGGUAACCUGCCUGGUAGCGGGGGAUAACUAUUGGAAACGAUAGCUAAUACCGCAUAAUAUUAAUUAUUGCAUGAUAAUUAAUUGAAAGGUGCAAUUGCACCACUACCAGAUGGACCUGCGUUGUAUUAGCUAGUAGGUGAGGUAACGGCUCACCUAGGCGACGAUACAUAGCCGACCUGAGAGGGUGAUCGGCCACACUGGGACUGAGACACGGCCCAGACUCCUACGGGAGGCAGCAGUAGGGAAUCUUCGGCAAUGGACGAAAGUCUGACCGAGCAACGCCGCGUGAGUGAAGAAGGUUUUCGGAUCGUAAAGCUCCGUUGUAAGAGAAGAACGGGUGUGAGAGUGGAAAGUUCACACUGUGACGGUAUCUUACCAGAAAGGGACGGCUAACUACGU
RNAcentral lists this ribosomal RNA (504 nucleotides) under uncultured bacterium. RNAcentral describes it as "partial 16S ribosomal RNA". It matches the Rfam family "Bacterial small subunit ribosomal RNA", at positions 28 to 506 of the family's 1533-position model. The record is from RNAcentral.